GACGAACCGAGCGAACGUUGUUCGGAAUCACUGGGCUUAAAGGGCGCGUAGGCGGGUGCUCAAGUCCGGGGUGAAAUCCCACAGCUCAACUGUGGAACUGCCUCGGAUACUGGGUGUCUCGAGGGUGGCAGGGGUAUGCGGAACUAUCGGUGGAGCGGUGAAAUGCGUUGAUAUCGAUAGGAACUCCGGUGGCGAAGGCGGCAUACUGGUCUGUAACUGACGCUGAGGCGCGAAAGCGUGGGGAGCAAACAGG
Molecule: ribosomal RNA, 253 nt
Filed under: uncultured bacterium
Lineage: Bacteria
Description: partial 16S ribosomal RNA
Rfam family: Bacterial small subunit ribosomal RNA
Source: RNAcentral